Mobula hypostoma (lesser devil ray) is the source of this 745-nucleotide long non-coding RNA. RefSeq lists it as uncharacterized. NCBI's taxonomy places the organism in Eukaryota, Metazoa, Chordata, Chondrichthyes, Myliobatiformes, Myliobatidae. The transcript has 3 exons. The record is from RefSeq and is a predicted model, not a curated record.
GCCCUAACGACGACCAAUACCAGUCAGUGUUGGGGCGCUGGCAGUCAGAGCCGCGGAGCGAGAAACUAAUAGCAGUCCGGUCAAGAGCUCCGACCUUUGGGAUCCAGAACUGGACCUUGGGCAUGUUGAUAGCAUUUUGAAGGUGAGAACUGCUGAGAGAAGGAAGCACAGGGAUAGAGUUUCUGGUCAGACAGAGGUCAUUGCGAGAGAACAGCUCCAACCGCAAUAUUUAAUGCAUCUGCUUCAACGAUGAAUGGCAGCUCUGGGUCAGGAAGAACAAUGGGAGCCGUUGUGAAGCAACUCUUCAAUUUAUGGAAAGCAAUUUCUGUUGUCCAGCAAAAUGAUCUGGAGGUUCCCCUUGUCAGAGCAGUAAGGGAUACUACGAUGCAACUGAAGUUGUCAAUGAGUGUCCGGUAAAAAUUAGCAAACCCCAGAACUGCUGGAACUGCUUGAUCAUGGUGGGUUGCAGCCAGUCCCUGAUGGCCUGGGUCUUUCUGGGGUCCAUCUGCAGAUUCCCCUUGGAGACAGUAAACCUGAGGAAGGAGAUUGUGGAGACAUGAAGCUCACUCUUUGGAUUCUCCAGUUUGACAAAUAGUUGUUUCUGGAAUAAACGUUAAAGAACUCGUCGAGCGUGUCUGUGGUAGAUUUUGGAGAUGAUGAUUGUAUCAUCCAGAAGACAUAGUAAUUUAGCAUUUCUCAGAGAACAUUGAUGAUAAAGACCUGGAAGACCACCGGGGCAUUAACU